GAUGAACGCUGGCGGCGUGCCUAAUACAUGCAAGUCGAGCGAACAGACGAGGAGCUUGCUCCUCUGACGUUAGCGGCGGACGGGUGAGUAACACGUGGAUAACCUACCUAUAAGACUGGGAUAACUUCGGGAAACCGGAGCUAAUACCGGAUAAUAUAUUGAACCGCAGGGUUCAAUAGUGAAAGGCGGUUUUGCUGUCACUUAUAGAUGGAUCCGCGCCGCAUUAGCUAGUUGGUAAGGUAACGGCUUACCAAGGCAACGAUGCGUAGCCGACCUGAGAGGGUGAUCGGCCACACUGGAACUGAGACACGGUCCAGACUCCUACGGGAGGCAGCAGUAGGGAAUCUUCCGCAAUGGGCGAAAGCCUGACGGAGCAACGCCGCGUGAGUGAUGAAGGUCUUCGGAUCGUAAAACUCUGUUAUUAGGGAAGAACAAAUGUGUAAGUAACUAUGCACGUCUUGACGGUACCUAAUCAGAAAGCCACGGCUAACUACGUG
This 497-nucleotide ribosomal RNA is filed under the name uncultured bacterium. Its description in RNAcentral is "partial 16S ribosomal RNA". It matches the Rfam family "Bacterial small subunit ribosomal RNA", at positions 28 to 507 of the family's 1533-position model. The record is from RNAcentral.